This is a non-coding RNA of Pelobates cultripes (western spadefoot toad), 145 nucleotides long. NCBI's taxonomy places the organism in Eukaryota, Metazoa, Chordata, Amphibia, Anura, Pelobatidae. The record is from the annotation of a GenBank genome assembly.
AGGCAAUCGGCAGCAGACCCUCCAUCCCAGACCCUCCCACCUCCUGGACAGCAUCCAUUUUACAUUCAUUGUGAAGCUGCAUUCUUAGUGAGCUGUCCAGGAGGUGGGAGGGUCUGGGAGGGAGGGUCUGCUGCUGAUUGGCUGG